AGCGAACGCUGGCGGCAGGCCUAACACAUGCAAGUCGAACGAACCUUUCGGGGUUAGUGGCGGACGGGUGAGUAACACGUGGGAACGUGCCUUUAGGUUCGGAAUAACUCAGGGAAACUUGUGCUAAUACCGAAUGUGCCCUUCGGGGGAAAGAUUUAUCGCCUUUAGAGCGGCCCGCGUCUGUUUAGCUAGUUGGUUGAGGUAAUGGCUCACCAAGGCGACGAUCAGUAGCUGGUCUGAGAGGAUGAUCAGCCACAUUGGGACUGAGACACGGCCCAAACUCCUACGGGAGGCAGCAGUGGGGAAUCUUGCGCAAUCGGCGAAAGCCUGACGCAGCCAUGCCGCGUGAAUGAUGAAGGUCUUAGGAUUGUAAAAUUCUUUCACCGGGGACGAUAAUGACGGUACCCGGAGAAGAAGCCCCGGCUAACUUCGUG
This 434-nucleotide ribosomal RNA is filed under the name uncultured bacterium. RNAcentral's name for it is "partial 16S ribosomal RNA". It matches the Rfam family "Bacterial small subunit ribosomal RNA", at positions 29 to 507 of the family's 1533-position model. The record is from RNAcentral.